GAGGGCGGGUGCUAUACAUGCAGUCGAGCGAACUGAUUAGAAGCUUGCUUCUAUGACGUUAGCGGCGGACGGGUGAGUAACACGUGGGCAACCUGCCUGUAAGACUGGGAUAACUUCGGGAAACCGAAGCUAAUACCGGAUAGGAUCUUCUCCUUCAUGGGAGAUGAUUGAAAGAUGGUUUCGGCUAUCACUUACAGAUGGGCCCGCGGUGCAUUAGCUAGUUGGUGAGGUAACGGCUCACCAAGGCAACGAUGCAUAGCCGACCUGAGAGGGUGAUCGGCCACACUGGGACUGAGACACGGCCCAGACUCCUACGGGAGGCAGCAGUAGGGAAUCUUCCGCAAUGGACGAAAGUCUGACGGAGCAACGCCGCGUGAGUGAUGAAGGCUUUCGGGUCGAUAAAACUCUGUUGUUAGGGAAGAACAAGUACGAGAGUAACUGCUCGUACCUUGACGGUACCUAACCAGAAAGCCACGGCUAACUACGUGCCAGCAGCCGCGGUAAUACGUAGGUGGCAAGCGUUAUCCGGAAUUAUUGGGCGUAAAGCGCGCGCAGGCGGUUUCUUAAGUCUGAUGUGAAAGCCCACGGCUCAACCGUGGAGGGUCAUUGGAAACUGGGGAACUUGAGUGCAGAAGAGAAAAGCGGAAUUCCACGUGUAGCGGUGAAAUGCGUAGAGAUGUGGAGGAACACCAGUGGCGAAGGCGGCUUUUUGGUCUGUAACUGACGCUGAGGCGCGAAAGCGUGGGGAGCAAACAGGAUUAGAUACCACUGGUAGUCCACGCCGUAAACGAUGAGUGCUAAGUGUUAGAGGGUUUCCGCCCUUAGUGCUGCAGCUAACGCAUUAAGCACUCCGCCUGGGGAGUACGGUCGCAAGACUGAAACUCAAAGGAAUUGACGGGGGCCCGCACAAGCGGUGGAGCAUGUGGUUUAAUUCGAAGCAACGCGAAGAACCUUAUACAGGUCUUGACAUCCUCUGACAACUCUAGAUUC
RNAcentral lists this ribosomal RNA (990 nucleotides) under Bacillus sp. UST050418-734. RNAcentral's name for it is "bacterial SSU rRNA". It matches the Rfam family "Bacterial small subunit ribosomal RNA", at positions 38 to 1007 of the family's 1533-position model. Lineage: Bacteria; Bacillati; Bacillota; Bacilli; Caryophanales; Bacillaceae. The record is from RNAcentral.